RNAcentral lists this ribosomal RNA (548 nucleotides) under uncultured bacterium. RNAcentral describes it as "bacterial SSU rRNA". It matches the Rfam family "Bacterial small subunit ribosomal RNA", at positions 356 to 896 of the family's 1533-position model. The record is from RNAcentral.
GGGGAAUUUUGGACAAUGGGCGCAAGCCUGAUCCAGCCAUGCCGCGUGUCUGAAGAAGGCCUUCGGGUUGUAAAGGACUUUUGUCAGGGAAGAAAAGGCUGUCGCUAAUACCGACAGUUGAUGACGGUACCUGAAGAAUAAGCACCGGCUAACUACGUGCCAGCAGCCGCGGUAAUACGUAGGGUGCGAGCGUUAAUCGGAAUUACUGGGCGUAAAGCGAGCGCAGACGGUUACUUAAGCAGGAUGUGAAAUCCCCGGGCUCAACCUGGGAACUGCGUUCUGAACUGGGUGACUAGAGUGUGUCAGAGGGAGGUAGAAUUCCACGUGUAGCAGUGAAAUGCGUAGAGAUGUGGAGGAAUACCGAUGGCGAAGGCAGCCUCCUGGGAUAACACUGACGUUCAUGCUCGAAAGCGUGGGUAGCAAACAGGAUUAGAUACCCUGGUAGUCCACGCCCUAAACGAUGUCAAUUAGCUGUUGGGCAACUUGAUUGCUUAGUAGCGUAGCUGACGCGUGAAAUUGACCGCCUGGGGAGUACGGUCGCAAGAUUA